RNAcentral lists this ribosomal RNA (2900 nucleotides) under Klebsiella pneumoniae. Its description in RNAcentral is "bacterial LSU rRNA". It matches the Rfam family "Bacterial large subunit ribosomal RNA". The record is from RNAcentral. RNAcentral also lists the same sequence under 1 other name. Lineage: Bacteria; Pseudomonadati; Pseudomonadota; Gammaproteobacteria; Enterobacterales; Enterobacteriaceae.
UUAAGCGACUAAGCGUACACGGUGGAUGCCCUGGCAGUCAGAGGCGAUGAAGGACGUGCUAAUCUGCGAAAAGCGUCGGUAAGGUGAUAUGAACCGUUACAGCCGGCGAUGUCCGAAUGGGGAAACCCAGUGCAAUUCGUUGCACUAUCGUUAACUGAAUACAUAGGUUAACGAGGCGAACCGGGGGAACUGAAACAUCUAAGUACCCCGAGGAAAAGAAAUCAACCGAGAUUCCCCCAGUAGCGGCGAGCGAACGGGGAGCAGCCCAGAGUCUGAAUCAGCUUGUGUGUUAGUGGAACGGUCUGGAAAGUCCGACGGUACAGGGUGAUAGUCCCGUACACCAAAAUGCACAGGCUGUGAACUCGAAGAGUAGGGCGGGACACGUGGUAUCCUGUCUGAAUAUGGGGGGACCAUCCUCCAAGGCUAAAUACUCCUGACUGACCGAUAGUGAACCAGUACCGUGAGGGAAAGGCGAAAAGAACCCCGGCGAGGGGAGUGAAAAAGAACCUGAAACCGUGUACGUACAAGCAGUGGGAGCACCUUCGGGUGUGACUGCGUACCUUUUGUAUAAUGGGUCAGCGACUUAUAUUCUGUAGCAAGGUUAACCGUAUAGGGGAGCCGCAGGGAAACCGAGUCUUAACUGGGCGUUAAGUUGCAGGGUAUAGACCCGAAACCCGGUGAUCUAGCCAUGGGCAGGUUGAAGGUUGGGUAACACUAACUGGAGGACCGAACCGACUAAUGUUGAAAAAUUAGCGGAUGACUUGUGGCUGGGGGUGAAAGGCCAAUCAAACCGGGAGAUAGCUGGUUCUCCCCGAAAGCUAUUUAGGUAGCGCCUCGUGAACUCAUCUUCGGGGGUAGAGCACUGUUUCGGCUAGGGGGUCAUCCCGACUUACCAACCCGAUGCAAACUACGAAUACCGAAGAAUGUUAUCACGGGAGACACACGGCGGGUGCUAACGUCCGUCGUGAAGAGGGAAACAACCCAGACCGCCAGCUAAGGUCCCAAAGUCAUGGUUAAGUGGGAAACGAUGUGGGAAGGCACAGACAGCCAGGAUGUUGGCUUAGAAGCAGCCAUCAUUUAAAGAAAGCGUAAUAGCUCACUGGUCGAGUCGGCCUGCGCGGAAGAUGUAACGGGGCUAAACCAUGCACCGAAGCUGCGGCAGCGACACUAUGUGUUGUUGGGUAGGGGAGCGUUCUGUAAGCCUGCGAAGGUGACCUGUGAGGGUUGCUGGAGGUAUCAGAAGUGCGAAUGCUGACAUAAGUAACGAUAAAGCGGGUGAAAAGCCCGCUCGCCGGAAGACCAAGGGUUCCUGUCCAACGUUAAUCGGGGCAGGGUGAGUCGACCCCUAAGGCGAGGCCGAAAGGCGUAGUCGAUGGGAAACAGGUUAAUAUUCCUGUACUUGGUGUUACUGCGAAGGGGGGACGGAGAAGGCUAUGUUAGCCGGGCGACGGUUGUCCCGGUUUAAGCAUGUAGGCUGGUUGUCCAGGCAAAUCCGGAUAAUCAAGGCUGAGGUGUGAUGACGAGGCACUACGGUGCUGAAGUAACAAAUGCCCUGCUUCCAGGAAAAGCCUCUAAGCAUCAGGUAACAUUAAAUCGUACCCCAAACCGACACAGGUGGUCAGGUAGAGAAUACCAAGGCGCUUGAGAGAACUCGGGUGAAGGAACUAGGCAAAAUGGUGCCGUAACUUCGGGAGAAGGCACGCUGGUGUGUAGGUGAAGUCCCUGCGGAUGGAGCUGAGACCAGUCGAAGAUACCAGCUGGCUGCAACUGUUUAUUAAAAACACAGCACUGUGCAAACACGAAAGUGGACGUAUACGGUGUGACGCCUGCCCGGUGCCGGAAGGUUAAUUGAUGGGGUUAUCCGUAAGGAGAAGCUCUUGAUCGAAGCCCCGGUAAACGGCGGCCGUAACUAUAACGGUCCUAAGGUAGCGAAAUUCCUUGUCGGGUAAGUUCCGACCUGCACGAAUGGCGUAAUGAUGGCCAGGCUGUCUCCACCCGAGACUCAGUGAAAUUGAACUCGCUGUGAAGAUGCAGUGUACCCGCGGCAAGACGGAAAGACCCCGUGAACCUUUACUAUAGCUUGACACUGAACAUUGAGCCUUGAUGUGUAGGAUAGGUGGGAGGCUUUGAAGCGUGGACGCCAGUCUGCGUGGAGCCAACCUUGAAAUACCACCCUUUAAUGUUUGAUGUUCUAACGUUGGCCCCUUACCGGGGUUGCGGACAGUGUCUGGUGGGUAGUUUGACUGGGGCGGUCUCCUCCCAAAGCGUAACGGAGGAGCACGAAGGUUAGCUAAUCCUGGUCGGACAUCAGGAGGUUAGUGCAAUGGCAUAAGCUAGCUUGACUGCGAGCGUGACGGCGCGAGCAGGUGCGAAAGCAGGUCAUAGUGAUCCGGUGGUUCUGAAUGGAAGGGCCAUCGCUCAACGGAUAAAAGGUACUCCGGGGAUAACAGGCUGAUACCGCCCAAGAGUUCAUAUCGACGGCGGUGUUUGGCACCUCGAUGUCGGCUCAUCACAUCCUGGGGCUGAAGUAGGUCCCAAGGGUAUGGCUGUUCGCCAUUUAAAGUGGUACGCGAGCUGGGUUUAGAACGUCGUGAGACAGUUCGGUCCCUAUCUGCCGUGGGCGCUGGAGAAUUGAGGGGGGCUGCUCCUAGUACGAGAGGACCGGAGUGGACGCAUCACUGGUGUUCGGGUUGUCAUGCCAAUGGCACUGCCCGGUAGCUAAAUGCGGAAGAGAUAAGUGCUGAAAGCAUCUAAGCACGAAACUUGCCCCGAGAUGAGUUCUCCCUGAGACUUUAAGUCUCCUGAAGGAACGUUGAAGACGACGACGUUGAUAGGCCGGGUGUGUAAGCGCAGCGAUGCGUUGAGCUAACCGGUACUAAUGAACCGUGAGGCUUAACCUU